CCCUGGAGUUGCAGAUACGGUGAGCAGUAAUUGUCCUAUUCUGUAUCUCUGAGGCUUUCGCUUGUCAACCACAUCUUCUUUUGGAUAAUGAAUACUACAUCGUCCCCACCAUGAUCUGAAUCUGAACUGGAAUCUGUUGCCACUGUGUCCCAGUGCAAAGCCACUAAAUACUUCUUUACAAAAUCAACUACUGCUUGUUUGUCCCGAAUGAUGAUGAAACCACUAGGCCUGAGCAUACGGUCCAUCUCCAGCAACAGAUCCUCAGCACUGCAGCCUUUCCUCUCAAUGUCCGAAAACACAGUCCAAGCAUGGAGUAAAUCAUA
Molecule: long non-coding RNA, 323 nt
Filed under: Carica papaya (papaya)
Lineage: Eukaryota; Viridiplantae; Streptophyta; Magnoliopsida; Brassicales; Caricaceae
Description: long non-coding RNA (CPAP_LNC002897)
Source: RNAcentral